AUCAAAGGUUAAUUUAUUAUUGAAGAAAGAAAAAUGUCUCUAUCAAUGAAUAUAGCCUAAGGAUACGGGGUUUAUGAAGUCUACAGUAGUGUACAGCAGUGUCCUAGGCCUUCAUGUUCAUUCAUCAGUAGGUGCACUCACCAACGGACCCAGAGCAACUCCAGUCCUAUAAGCUGCAGUCAUAGUAAGUGCCCUACACAGGUGUACCAUUUUUAAUCCUUUUACCAUUUUUAUUGUACCUUUUCUGUUUAGAUGUGUUUAGAUACACAAAUACUUACUACUGUGUUCCAAUUGCCUAUAGUAUUCAGUACAGCAACAUGCUGAAUGGGUCUGUAGACUAGGAGCAAUGGGCUAUACUAUACAGCCUGGGUUUGUAGUAGGCUAUACCAUCUCAGUUUGUGUAAAUACAUUCUAUGAUGUUCACACAAUGUCAAAAUUGCUUAAUGAUGCAUUUCUCAGAACCCAUCUUCAUUGUUAAGUGACAUAUGACUGUAUAUUAUAAAGAGGCCAAACCCACGCCUGAUGUAUGUCAGCAUGCCUGAGUUACUUAACACAAGGUCUGAGACACAGAGGAUGCUUAUAAUACUGACUAAAUGACUAAUUAAAAAGUUAUUUCCACUAAAUUUUGAAUCAUAUUGUAUCCUUGUUUUGGCAGCAGAUUUACAUCCUUAAUUCUAUCUUGCUUAGCUAAAAUUAACAGGUUUACAUUUUUCAAGUAAACUCUAGAAAUUAGUUGCUUAGAUGCCUGCUAAGUGAUGGGAUCAAGGGAGGCUAAGCUCUAAAGUUUGUCAAGAAAAAGCUACAUGUGAAUAAUUAGGAGUUGCUAGUUAAGCACUCAAACUUUUUUUUUUUUUUUUUUUUUUUGGUGAUAAACUGUAGGAGUUUCUCGGGUCUAAAGGAAGACACAGGAUGUCUUCAGAGAUUGGAGCCACAUUUGGGCCAGGAGCAACUAUUUAAAGGACUCCGCGUCGCUAAAACAAUAAGAAUAGUAUAAAAAAGUACCCAUGUAUUUGGUUGUUUUCUGGACAGGUAAACCCAAGUCUUAAGUAAGGGCCAUGAGUACAGAUGACCACAGAAAAGUUUCCAAAGGAAACCCUGAGUGAGCAAGCUUGACUGUAGUCUACUAUAGACUUUAAAAAUAUCCAUUUGUAUUUUUAGGAGUUCUUACAAAUAUUAAUCCACCAUAAAAGUAAUAACAGCAAGGCCUUGAAAGUUAAUGAUAAUGAAAGGCAAUUUUUAAAUUUUUUUUUAGAGAAAGGGUCUCCCUUAUUGCCCAGGCUGGAAUGCAGUAGUAUGAUCAUAGCCCACUGUAACCUUGAAUUCCCAUGCUCAAGCAAUCCUCCCACCUCAGCCUACCGAGUAGCUGGGACCACAGGCACAUGCCACAAUGAUUGGCUAACUUAUUUUUAUUUUUCUGUAGAGACAGGGUCUCACUAUGUUGCCCAAGGUGGAAAGGCAAUAUUUUUUAAGGUACUAUGUGCUAGGCACUAUGUAAGCUUAAAUCUUGCUGAGCUUCAUAUCUUAGCUACAUCUCUUUUGAUCCUUACAACAAUCCUAUGAAGUGAGUAAUAUUAACAUCCCUAUUGACAGAAUGAGGCUAUGAGAAACUAAGUCACUCCAGUUCACAUGGUUAGUUACUGACACAGCCAGGGUUCGAAACCAGGCCAACUGAGUUUUAACCACUACUCCAAUUAGCUUUCUCUGGGCUUAUCAUGUCUCUCAUGUCAAAUAACGUGUUAUUCUGCCAGCCCACAAGAGUCUUGAGAGCUCAAAGGCCCAUCUCUGGGAGGAUACCGAUGGAAGUGUGUCAUGAGGAUCUUAUCACUCAUCUGAGCUCUGCAUGUCACUCAGGCUCCAUACUCGGCUUCCUCUGUUCUGAUGUACAGUGAUAACCCAGGGCAAGGGGUUUCCAGAAAGACAGCACAUACUCUGGCUCAGCAAGUUACUUAAUCUCACUCAACUGGCCCAGCAGCUGGAUUCACGCAAGUCAGGUGGCCUGGAACUGAUCCUCUCUGGUUGUAGAAUUAAAAAUCUGGCAAGGAUUGGAAAGAUAGUUUACUUAAUAGGGCCUCAAGUAUAGGAAAGCAAUUGAAGGGUGAUUGCAGUGAUAGAAUCACUUGAGAGAGGGAGGUAGGGAAACUGUAAGUUACUAUAAAGUUGUGACCUUAUUUUAAACUAGAAAACUUAGUGGUCUCUUAUGUCUUUUGACUUUCAAGCAUUCCUGUGAGAGGGCUGGCAUAAAUGAUUGUUAAUGCUGUUGAUGGGAAAUUUAAAGUAGGAGGAAUCUGCCUACUGGCUUUUAAGAAAAGGUGAUUUCCUGCAAGAUGACCUAAUUGGUUAGGAAACAGAUAAGUGAACCUUCUCUAUGUUCACUUUAAGAGGAAGUUCUAAAAAUUGAGGUGCUCACUCCCUCUCUCUCCUUUUUGAUGAUUGUGAUAUUUAGACCUGCCAAAGCAGUAUAACUUCAUUGUCUGGAAUUUGGUUAAUUCCAAUGCAAAUACAAAAAUCAAAUACGUGAACUGAGCUUUGAAAAUAUUUUCAUUUUUGAGGAUUUUCAUUGUUAUGGGAUUGAGCCUGUAGAAGUCUCUGUGUAAGCUACAUAGAGCAAAUCUAAUCUACUCACACUGAAGUCAGGGCUCUGUAAAAGACUGUGGGAACAUUCAUUCUCCACUCUCUCAGAGACUCUUUUAGAUGGCACUGGCUGAGGCAGAAUGAAUACAGCUGCUGAUUCUGAUCUCACACUGGGUAUAUCCCUGAGUGCUGGAAAAAACAUCACCCUCAGAAGUGUGCAUUCAGCCAGCUGCCUUUGGAGAGAGCUGGGAAGGGUGCAAAGUGGCAUGUCCUUUACCAGUCACUCUUUCUGGGCCAAUGCUUAUCCAGAAAUGAGACAGAACUAUGGGUUUACUGCAAAUGACCAGCAUCCGCAAAGUGAUCAAGACUACCAACUUUGGUGUUCACUCUGCAAUGAAAAAAUGAACCAGCAGAAGGUGAAUGUGAAAGACUAAGAAGAGCCCUGCAGAAAACCCGUUAGCCCAUGUUUUCAUCUGUAAUGUGGAUGUGGGAUAGGAAGAGGGACAACGACAUAGUACCGACCAGGUUCCAGAAACUAUUCCAAGUGCUUUACGUGAUAAAAAUCUCUUAAUUGUCUCAACGACCAUACGAAGUAUAUCUCUAGUGUUGCCC
Molecule: long non-coding RNA, 3183 nt
Filed under: Homo sapiens (human)
Lineage: Eukaryota; Metazoa; Chordata; Mammalia; Primates; Hominidae
Description: HSALNT0377665
Source: RNAcentral